RNAcentral lists this ribosomal RNA (1495 nucleotides) under Lactiplantibacillus pentosus. RNAcentral describes it as "bacterial SSU rRNA". It matches the Rfam family "Bacterial small subunit ribosomal RNA". The record is from RNAcentral. Lineage: Bacteria; Bacillati; Bacillota; Bacilli; Lactobacillales; Lactobacillaceae.
GACGAACGCUGGCGGCGUGCCUAAUACAUGCAAGUCGAACGAACUCUGGUAUUGAUUGGUGCUUGCAUCAUGAUUUACAUUUGAGUGAGUGGCGAACUGGUGAGUAACACGUGGGAAACCUGCCCAGAAGCGGGGGAUAACACCUGGAAACAGAUGCUAAUACCGCAUAACAACUUGGACCGCAUGGUCCGAGUUUGAAAGAUGGCUUCGGCUAUCACUUUUGGAUGGUCCCGCGGCGUAUUAGCUAGAUGGUGAGGUAACGGCUCACCAUGGCAAUGAUACGUAGCCGACCUGAGAGGGUAAUCGGCCACAUUGGGACUGAGACACGGCCCAAACUCCUACGGGAGGCAGCAGUAGGGAAUCUUCCACAAUGGACGAAAGUCUGAUGGAGCAACGCCGCGUGAGUGAAGAAGGGUUUCGGCUCGUAAAACUCUGUUGUUAAAGAAGAACAUAUCUGAGAGUAACUGUUCAGGUAUUGACGGUAUUUAACCAGAAAGCCACGGCUAACUACGUGCCAGCAGCCGCGGUAAUACGUAGGUGGCAAGCGUUGUCCGGAUUUAUUGGGCGUAAAGCGAGCGCAGGCGGUUUUUUAAGUCUGAUGUGAAAGCCUUCGGCUCAACCGAAGAAGUGCAUCGGAAACUGGGAAACUUGAGUGCAGAAGAGGACAGUGGAACUCCAUGUGUAGCGGUGAAAUGCGUAGAUAUAUGGAAGAACACCAGUGGCGAAGGCGGCUGUCUGGUCUGUAACUGACGCUGAGGCUCGAAAGUAUGGGUAGCAAACAGGAUUAGAUACCCUGGUAGUCCAUACCGUAAACGAUGAAUGCUAAGUGUUGGAGGGUUUCCGCCCUUCAGUGCUGCAGCUAACGCAUUAAGCAUUCCGCCUGGGGAGUACGGCCGCAAGGCUGAAACUCAAAGGAAUUGACGGGGGCCCGCACAAGCGGUGGAGCAUGUGGUUUAAUUCGAAGCUACGCGAAGAACCUUACCAGGUCUUGACAUACUAUGCAAAUCUAAGAGAUUAGACGUUCCCUUCGGGGACAUGGAUACAGGUGGUGCAUGGUUGUCGUCAGCUCGUGUCGUGAGAUGUUGGGUUAAGUCCCGCAACGAGCGCAACCCUUAUUAUCAGUUGCCAGCAUUAAGUUGGGCACUCUGGUGAGACUGCCGGUGACAAACCGGAGGAAGGUGGGGAUGACGUCAAAUCAUCAUGCCCCUUAUGACCUGGGCUACACACGUGCUACAAUGGAUGGUACAACGAGUUGCGAACUCGCGAGAGUAAGCUAAUCUCUUAAAGCCAUUCUCAGUUCGGAUUGUAGGCUGCAACUCGCCUACAUGAAGUCGGAAUCGCUAGUAAUCGCGGAUCAGCAUGCCGCGGUGAAUACGUUCCCGGGCCUUGUACACACCGCCCGUCACACCAUGAGAGUUUGUAACACCCAAAGUCGGUGGGGUAACCUUUUAGGAACCAGCCGCCUAAGGUGGGACAGAUGAUUAGGGUGAAGUCG